Molecule: ribosomal RNA, 276 nt
Filed under: Burkholderia cenocepacia
Lineage: Bacteria; Pseudomonadati; Pseudomonadota; Betaproteobacteria; Burkholderiales; Burkholderiaceae
Description: partial 16S ribosomal RNA
Rfam family: Bacterial small subunit ribosomal RNA
Source: RNAcentral
UUGAACUGAAGAGUUUGAUCCUGGCUCAGAUUGAACGCUGGCGGCAUGCCUUACACAUGCAAGUCGAACGGCAGCACGGGUGCUUGCACCUGGUGGCGAGUGGCGAACGGGUGAGUAAUACAUCGGAACAUGUCCUGUAGUGGGGGAUAGCCCGGCGAAAGCCGGAUUAAUACCGCAUACGAUCCACGGAUGAAAGCGGGGGACCUUCGGGCCUCGCGCUAUAGGGUUGGCCGAUGGCUGAUUAGCUAGUUGGUGGGGUAAAGGCCUACCAAGGCG